GGAUCCACCGGAGCCGUCACGGUCGUCGGGCGACGCGGUGGCUGCCGUGAAUGGCACUGGAAUGUCCCCGGCGGCACCGCCUGCAGUAGCAGCAACCGGCCGCCGAUCGAACUGGCGCAGGGUCCCCGAUUUGGUGUACAGUCGACACAAGCUGAACUCGCUUCUCAGCUACAAAACAAUACGAAGUUCACAUCAGACUACAGAUUCGUAUAAUAAUUACCUUUCUCAAUCUCACAGAUAUGGAUGAAUAGCCUUAUCGAUCAGCAACUUGCAUGCCAAGAUGUAACACGAGAAAAAGAAGUUAUCGAAAACAUGCAUGUAGAUGUAGGUGUGGCUGUCAUGAUGAGGAUCCCAUGUUAAUUGGCACUAUCUAUAAGCACCACAUACAAUCUGAAACCUAUGCCUAGAUGAAUUGCUAGUUGCGAGCUGCUUUUCGGCACUUAUCCGGCGCGAAAAGCGACAGCCAUGUCUGUGUGAUACAUAUGGAGAUGGACAUGUGAAUGACAUGGAGUAUUACCUGCGGAGGGCGGUUCGGUGGCGCGGCAGGUGCCGCGGGUGCGCCGGCGCCGUCGUCGUCGUGCUCGUGC
RNAcentral lists this long non-coding RNA (587 nucleotides) under Hordeum vulgare. RNAcentral describes it as "long non-coding RNA (HVUL_LNC020926)". Lineage: Eukaryota; Viridiplantae; Streptophyta; Magnoliopsida; Poales; Poaceae. The record is from RNAcentral.